This 370-nucleotide ribosomal RNA is filed under the name Klebsiella pneumoniae. Its description in RNAcentral is "partial 23S ribosomal RNA". It matches the Rfam family "Bacterial large subunit ribosomal RNA", at positions 56 to 465 of the family's 2925-position model. Lineage: Bacteria; Pseudomonadati; Pseudomonadota; Gammaproteobacteria; Enterobacterales; Enterobacteriaceae. The record is from RNAcentral.
ACGUGCUAAUCUGCGAAAAGCGUCGGUAAGGUGAUAUGAACCGUUAUAACCGGCGAUGUCCGAAUGGGGAAACCCAGUGUGAUUCGUCACACUAUCGUUGACUGAAUACAUAGGUUAACGAGGCGAACCGGGGGAACUGAAACAUCUAAGUACCCCGAGGGAAAGAAAUCAACCGAGAUUCCCCCAGUAGCGGCGAGCGAACGGGGAGCAGCCCAUAGUCUGAAUCAGCUUGUGUGUUAGUGGAACGGUCUGGAAAGUCCGACGGUACAGAGUGAUAGUCCCGUACACCAAAAUGCACAGGCUGUGAACUCGAAGAGUAGGGCGGGACACGUGGUAUCCUGUCUGAAUAUGGGGGGACCAUCCUCCAAGG